Molecule: ribosomal RNA, 450 nt
Filed under: uncultured Thauera sp.
Lineage: Bacteria; Pseudomonadati; Pseudomonadota; Betaproteobacteria; Rhodocyclales; Zoogloeaceae
Description: bacterial SSU rRNA
Rfam family: Bacterial small subunit ribosomal RNA
Source: RNAcentral
CGGUGGAUGAUGUGGAUUAAUUCGAUGCAACGCGAAAACCUUACCUACCCUUGACAUGCCAGGAACCUUGCUGAGAGGCGAGGGUGCCUUCGGGAGCCUGGACACAGGUGCUGCAUGGCUGUCGUCAGCUCGUGUCGUGAGAUGUUGGGUUAAGUCCCGCAACGAGCGCAACCCUUGUCACUAGUUGCCAUCAUUUAGUUGGGCACUCUAGUGAGACUGCCGGUGACAAACCGGAGGAAGGUGGGGAUGACGUCAAGUCCUCAUGGCCUUUAUGCCCAGGGCUACACACGUGCUACAAUGGGUGGUACAAAGAGAUGCCAACUCGCGAGAGCGCGCCAAUCUCAGAAAGCCAUCCUCAGUUCGGAUUGGAGUCUGCAACUCGACUCCAUGAAGUUGGAAUCGCUAGUAAUCGCGGAUCAGCACGCCGCGGUGAAUACGUUCCCGGGCCUU